AGUUGUGUCAAUGAAAUGGUGACGUCUCUUCCCAUUCAUUCUAAACCUAUCUCCCCUAUUAAGCGAGACAACGGUCGAGUUCAUUUCGCUUCGCUGCAUCUUCGGACGUUACUGCCUGACGUAAUUCUCGAUGGUGAGUCAGCCACUUCCUCUCCUGGAAAGAACCUGACAAACUUUUUGCAUGGGACCGUACAUGUGAUAAAUGAUGAAAUUAGGAGGAAAAUCUCAUAUCUCUGCAUUAUAGCUUCAACUGUUGUGAUCAACAUAUUUUUGUUUUUAUGUAAGUCAGGGAUUGCCUGUAUUUAUUAACAUAACCCAUAUCCUAUAGGGAUUAUAUUAAAAUAUUGAGCCUAGGAAAAUACAAGUUUCCCCCACUGUACAAAGAUUCAUUUUAUGCCAUUUCAUUUUUACAAAAGACGUACAUUUGUAUCUGUUUUCAUUAACAAAGAAAUCUGAAGAGGAUUUUUGGUUUUACAAAAAUAGGCAAAAUAUGAAAAUAGUGCUCAGCAUUUACUUUGAAGAAAAUCAUUAUGAUGGUAACAUACACUCUGUUCAGCAAGAGUAGUGCUAUCAAAUUCCUACCCCAGAACUACAAUCAAAUCUAAUUGCUAUAACUUUGAACUACAUCUGUGAGCAUCUGUGCUUUAUUCUUGAUUUAUAUUGUACAUCCAUUUGCAAGAUGUCUUAAAGUAUCAGAA
Molecule: long non-coding RNA, 698 nt
Filed under: Androctonus crassicauda
Lineage: Eukaryota; Metazoa; Arthropoda; Arachnida; Scorpiones; Buthidae
Source: RNAcentral